Molecule: ribosomal RNA, 459 nt
Filed under: uncultured bacterium
Lineage: Bacteria
Description: partial 16S ribosomal RNA
Rfam family: Bacterial small subunit ribosomal RNA
Source: RNAcentral
CCUACGGGAGGCAGCAGUGAGGAAUAUUGGUCAAUGGCCGAGAGGCUGAACCAGCCAAGUCGCGUGAGGGAAGACGGACCGACGGGUGGUAAACCGCAUUUGUCGGGGAGCAAAGAGAGUCACGUGUGACUCAUUGAGAGUACCCGAAGAAAAACCAUCGGCUAACUCCGUGCCAGCAGCCGCGGUAAUACGGAGGUUGCGAGCGUUAUCCGGAUUUAUUGGGUUUAAAGGGUGCGCAGGCGGAGGUGCAAGUAAACGGUAAAAUUUCGGGGCUCAACCCCUUACUGCCGUUUAAACUGCAUCCCUUGAGUGCGCGAGAAGUAUGCGGAAUGCGUGGUGUAGCGGUGAAAUGCAUAGAUAUCACGCAGAACUCCGAUUGCGAAGGCAGCAUACCGGCGCGCAACUGACGCUCAUGCACGAAAGCGUGGGUAUCGAACAGGAUUAGAUACCCCGGUAGUA